UGCAGCUGUUCUUCCAGACUUAUUUCUCGUUGGAUAAGCUUGGGCAAAUCUGGUGAAAUGGUCUAUUACAACCAAGAUGUAUUCAUAACCACCCUUGCUUCUCUCUAAAUGGAGGUAGUCAAUGGAGACCAGUUCCAGUGGUGAAGUGCUGGUGAUACUUCACAUUGGUGCUCUGAUGUGAACGACAGGUUUCUUCUUUUUGAUACAGGGACAUCUUCUGGUCACAUGAGCUUCAAUGUCUCUUUUCAUAAAGGGCCAAUAGAACCUAUCUCUCGCCAAAGUAAGAACGCGCUCAGUUCCUACGUGACCCAUGUCAUCAUGGAGGUGCUUAAGAGCCACUGUGUGGUAUUUUGUGGGGAGGACGAGUUGUUGUCGCUGCUUUGUCUGCCUGUACAGCAGUUGGUUCUUGACGUGGAGUUUCCCCCAUUCAUGCAUGAGUUUUUGCAGCGUACCUGAAGCUCCUCGCCGAUUUUCAUUUGACAAGACUCUCUUUGUUUCCUUCAGUCUUAUUAGUGCCCCAAUUGAUGGGUCUUCCUUGGACAAUUCUUCGGUGCAUUCCACCACAUACCUGUCCAGUGCUCAUCAACUGGUCCGAUGCUUUGAGUGAGCUGGAAGAUCUCUUCGGUUGUCAGGCUGUGUAGUCCUUUCUUUAUUGUCCAAACAAAACUCUUUCUCUCGUUGUCAAACAUGCCGCACGUUGUUGGGACUGUCGAGUUGCACUCUCUCGGCUUGGAUUCCACUAGACUGGUUCUCUCACCCUGGCAGUCGCUCACUCGCAGUGCCCCUCGCUCCAGCAACGUGUCAUCACUCUGGUCCACGGUUCAUGGAUUACUGGAUCAGCAGUUGUCGGACCCCCGUAGUACUGCUGAUCCCGGACCAGCCCCCGAAGAUCUGUUACAGGUCUCAGGAUAAGAGAGCCUGAUGACAGACUUGUGCCUGAGAAAAAUAGUAAUUAAUGACACAGGCAGACGUAUGGCUUCUUCUGUCAGCGUCUUCUCAAGCAAUUGACAAUUUAUUUCACAAUUUAAGUGAAAGCAAGCAUAUCCAGUAUAUGUUCUGCACUAUAUGCAGAACAGCGCUGCUAGGAUCCU
Long non-coding RNA from Gasterosteus aculeatus aculeatus (three-spined stickleback), 1091 nucleotides. Lineage: Eukaryota; Metazoa; Chordata; Actinopteri; Perciformes; Gasterosteidae. The record is from Ensembl.